Molecule: non-coding RNA, 111 nt
Organism: Jatropha curcas
Lineage: Eukaryota; Viridiplantae; Streptophyta; Magnoliopsida; Malpighiales; Euphorbiaceae
Source: Rfam
GAUGCUGUGAUGAGGUUAAGCACUAAAUGUGUUUAAAGAGCAGUGGACGGGUUCCGUUUGGGACUCGCCGUGAGCUUUGUUAAUUAACGACUUCUCCUUCCACUGAGCUCU